GGGUGAGUAAUGUCUGGGAAACUGCCUGAUGGAGGGGGAUAACUACUGGAAACGGUAGCUAAUACCGCAUAACGUCGCAAGACCAAAGAGGGGGACCUUCGGGCCUCUUGCCAUCAGAUGUGCCCAGAUGGGAUUAGCUAGUAGGUGGGGUAACGGCUCACCUAGGCGACGAUCCCUAGCUGGUCUGAGAGGAUGACCAGCCACACUGGAACUGAGACACGGUCCAGACUCCUACGGGAGGCAGCAGUGGGGAAUAUUGCACAAUGGGCGCAAGCCUGAUGCAGCCAUGCCGCGUGUAUGAAGAAGGCCUUCGGGUUGUAAAGUACUUUCAGCGGGGAGGAAGGGAGUAAAGUUAAUACCUUUGCUCAUUGACGUUACCCGCAGAAGAAGCACCGGCUAACUCCGUGCCAGCAGCCGCGGUAAUACGGAGGGUGCAAGCGUUGAUCGGAAUUACUGGGCGUAAAGCGCACGCAGGCGGUUUGUUAAGUCAGAUGUGAAAUCCCCGGGCUCAACCUGGGAACUGCAUCUGAUACUGGCAAGCUUGAGUCUCGUAGAGGGGGGUAGAAUUCCAGGUGUAGCGGUGAAAUGCGUAGAGAUCUGGAGGAAUACCGGUGGCGAAGGCGGCCCCCUGGACGAAGACUGACGCUCAGGUGCGAAAGCGUGGGGAGCAAACAGGAUUAGAUACCCUGGUAGUCCACGCCGUAAACGAUGUCGACUUGGAGGUUGUGCCCUUGAGGCGUGGCUUCCGGAGCUAACGCGUUAAGUCGACCGCCUGGGGAGUACGGCCGCAAGGUUAAAACUCAAAUGAAUUGACGGGGGCCCGCACAAGCGGUGGAGCAUGUGGUUUAAUUCAAUGCAACGCGAAGAACCUUACCUGGUCUUGACAUCCACGGAAGUUUUCAGAGAUGAGAAUGUGCCUUCGGGAACCGUGAGACAGGUGCUGCAUGGCUGUCGUCAGCUCGUGUUGUGAAAUGUUGGGUUAAGUCCCGCAACGAGCGCAACCCUUAUCCUUUGUUGCCAGCGGUCCGGCCGGGAACUCAAAGGAGACUGCCAGUGAUAAACUGGAGGAAGGUGGGGAUGACGUCAAGUCAUCAUGGCCCUUACGACCAGGGCUACACACGUGCUACAAUGGCGCAUACAAAGAGAAGCGACCUCGCGAGAGCAAGCGGACCUCAUAAAGUGCGUCGUAGUCCGGAUUGGAGUCUGCAACUCGACUCCAUGAAGUCGGAAUCGCUAGUAAUCGUGGAUCAGAAUGCCACGGUGAAUACGUUCCCGGGCCUUGUACACACCGCCCGUCACACCAUGGGAGUGGGUUGCAAAAGAAGUAGGUAGCUUAACCUUCGGGAGGGCGCUUACCACUUUGUGAUUCAUGACUGGGGUGAAGUCC
This 1387-nucleotide ribosomal RNA is filed under the name metagenome. RNAcentral describes it as "bacterial SSU rRNA". It matches the Rfam family "Bacterial small subunit ribosomal RNA". The record is from RNAcentral.